CCGUUCCCAGCCUGGCGGGCUGAGGGCCGGCGCCCCCCUCUGGUAGGGCAGCCUGGGGGCCUCAUUUGCCUGAUGGUGUUUUGACCUGCGUGCGAGGCCUUGCUCUUGCUCGUCCCUGCGUGAGACAAGCGGCUCGCCCUAGGUCCUGGAUUCUGGGGCAAGAAGCCACAAGGAAAGACAGGUCAGGGCCCGUUCAGAGCUAGGCCUGAUGGAAGGGGCUUGGUGAGGGGGGCAAAGACGUUUGGCAGAUUAGCUGGCUUCGGGAGGAACCUCGGGGGACAGCCCCCAGGUUGCAGCCCACUGGGGGGUAGACGGUGCUGUGGAUCCCGAGCUGUCCAGUUCCUAGCUGUGUGAUCCUGGGCAAGUUGCUGUCCUUUCUGAGCACAGGGCUCCACCUGUGAUAGCGGGUGACAGUAGUUAUCUACCCCGUGGGGCUGUUUAGGGCAUGACAUGAGCGCUGGCCUUGCAAUCGGAUGUUGAUAAAUGUUUAUAUGAGCGCAGAGCCUGCCGCAUGGUAGGUGAUCACUAGCUGUGUAGACUCUUAAAAGCUCCCGCUGACCUGGGACCAAUCAGUGGGAAAGUAAGUGGAAUCAUCUUGGCCCCUGCUGCCUGGAGCAGCCUAGAAUCCAACAGAGACUUAUUUGGUGCACCUGGAGAGCUGCAGAAAUGUUCACACCUGCAACAGGUGAAUGGCAGGAUCUCUUCUCCCAUUCCUCCCAAGGGGUGUUGGUCCCAACUGGCCACAUGUGGAAAGCAAGCCUUUAUUACCCUGAUUACUACCGGCUGGUGAAGAAACAAAAGCUAGGCCAGGAAGGCCUUGAGGUGGGAAGGGAAUCGUGCCCUGAUGGUCUGUCUCCAGGAGCAGCCCCUUGCCUCCGGGCUGCUGUAGAGAGCUCACUGCGCGAGACUGUGGCGUGGCAGGUGGAAGGUCGGUGACGAGGGGCAGGAGCAGGUGGGGACAGAGCAGGACCCAGGCCGAUGGCUUCCCCGGGUCCUUUCCAGCCUCCCUCUCAGGAGCCCUUCGGUUUCAUAACCCACAUGAUUCAUCCUUUCUGCUGGCGUGAGUCACCCCAGUGGAGGUGGGAGAACAGGGACCAGCCAAAUUCUUGUUCACAAGUGCUCCUGCCAGGGGCCCCUCUGGAACCUGGGGACUGAAUUCCCACACUUUCUUCCCUUUUCUGCACUAAAUGCAGUUUGUCCUCCCUUUCCCUCCCCUGGCCAAGUGGGCUCAGCCCACGAUGCAGAAUGCAGGCCCUGAGUUUCCCUCCUGCAGAUGGCCUCACCCUGCCCACAUGAGAGACAGAGGCCCUAGCACAGGCUGGGCUGCCCUGCGGGAAAUCGCACUGCCCUGACAGGGCAGAAACAGUACCCAGAACCCACAGCCUGUCUCUUCCCAAUGCCACCCUGGCUGCCCACAGAGGAGGGACACUGGAUUAAAGGCCUCCCUCUGUCACUUACCAGCAAUACACUUGUCACCUUUCUGGCCCCUGUUGGCCAGACUGUCCCUCGACCCUGUCCUGGACCUUGUGUUGUACUCCUUCAAGUACGUGACCCUCUUCAAGCUAAGGCUACAAUGCACAUAGUCUAAGUUAUUAUGAAGCGGCUCAUGUGUCCCCAGAGGAUACUGCCAAAGCAGCAGUGAUUUUGACAGAUAGAGAUAAGGGUUUUUCCAUAAUAAUUUAGUAGAUUAAGGGAUUCAGCCCACUGAACUGAGAGGAGACUAAAAUGCAUCUGAAUUUUUAUUUGGAGGGAUCCGAAUUUAUUUUAUUAAUAGAUCUGCUCAUUUGGGGUAAACUUUACAUUUACUGUGGAUGUGCCCAGACAAUAUCUUGGCUUCAAUUUUGUCGGGAGCCCAGCUUCCCAAAAUGAACAUCUUAAAGCACCUGCUGUGGGUUGCUCAUUGAUUUACAAGGUGACAGGACAGCUUGAUCCCAGAAGGACCAGCCCUUUGCACUGUGACUGGAUCUGCAAUAAGACCUGCCUCGUCUUCCUGUAGGGAGGGGGUUUACCACUCACUCCAGCUCCAGCUCUCCAGAUGGCCCUUGAGGGCCACACAGCUCUGUAGGGACGGGGGUGGGGGGCCUGCUGCUUCCCUAGUCUGAGGUCAGCAGGCCUGCGGAUGGACAGGACAUAGACCACAAAGGUGACUGGAGCCAGGAAAUUUUUCGGUUUUUUUUUUAAAUUUUAUUAUUAUUUUUUAAAAUUAUUUUUUGGUCACACUACACGGCAUGUGGGAUCUUAGUUCCCUGACCAGGGAUAGAACCCACACACCCUGCACUGGAAGCGCGGAAUCUUAACCACUUCGGAAGGAGGCAAUUUCUGGAUCAAAUUCUGUUUCAACACACCCCAAGUGGCUAUGUGAAGUCUUCUGCUAUCAAGUGGUCCGGGCAGCACUGGGCACCCCUUGGCCCCAGCUGUGUAAUCCUGUACUUGCUGUGAAGGGAUCAAUGGUGGGCAUGAGAACACACUGUAAUUCAGUAACAUCUUCCCAGUGAUGCCACCUCCUCUUGUCUGAUUUGGGAAGAUACUAGCAUAAAUAUCACAUCUUUGUAUUAGCGUUUUCUAAAACUUCUGAAGGGAAGUUUUCUAAAGCUUCGGAAGUGUGCUAGGUUCGGUAGGUUUAGGUUGGGGUGGCAUCCCUCAAAGAACGUCUGAUGGGCACCACCUUCAGGAUGUGGGAGAAGAGCACGCACUCAGCAGAGCUUCCCUGCCACUUGUGUGCAACCCCGGGCAAAGCUAUUCCAGUAUCCUCUGCCAAAAUGGCAGUAAUGAUGCUGUGCCAAUGCAGGGGAUCUGUGGAGCCAGUCAAAGCUGACAGGGGCCAAGCCCCUUGCCCAGCCUGGCACCAAGUACACGCUGCGCAAAUGGUGAUACCGGUGACCACUGCUGCCGCUGGGCACCAGGAGCGUCCAGUGGGGUAAGAUGGGCAAGGCUGCACACUCUGUCCUCUGUGGGGUUCACGGGCACAUAAAUGUCCUGUCCUUCCACCAGGCCUAGUUGCACAUUUCCUCACAUCUUAACAUCCCUGAAAUCGGGGAAAAUCUCACAGUCCAGUGUCUUGUGAUCACCACUGGCCUGGACCGAAAUUGACCGAAAUUGACUUCUUCCUGAGAGGAUUUGUGUUUGCUCCCCCCAGUGGUCUGGGACACAGCUCCUGAGACCCCUUGGGGACCACAUGGGUGGUGUGACCCCCAGCUGAGAACCAGCUUAUGGUUCAAAUGAUCAGUACAAGCAUUUCUCCCUGCCUCCACCAUGGCCAGGGGACAGGCCAGGGGGCUCCCUGCUGUCCCUCUCUGGUGGUGGGUUUAUUUCUCAUCUUCUCCUGCACCAACGGUGCAGCCUUUCACUGGCACAUGAAUGGAAGAGUCCCCAUGACACUUCCCAACUUGGACACUUUUGCUUUCUCAGUAAUAUGUCAACUCCUGACGCAUCUUCCACUUAAGGGUGUCUCUUGGAUUUGGUGAAUAUGGCAUUAAUGCCUCCAAGACGUAUUGCAGUAGAGAUGCCUAUUUGACUCUCUCAAAUGGCUCUGAUGUUUCUUUUUGUGGCAUCUAUUAACAUUCUACAGCAGAGGUACAGAAAGUGCCGUGUUUUUAAUGAAAAUCUGUUUUGACUCCUUUGGCAAAGCAAAGGUCUCCCAUCGCCUGGUUAGUGUGAAUUUUCAAAUUCUACCCUUCUCUCAGGAGAACACCUGGAUGGUUUAGACUACACAGCAUUCAGAGGUGUGAUGCCCGAUAGGACGCAUUCUGUAGAGCUGACAGCCCUGACACCAAGCCUGGAUAACACACAUGGUCCCUAGCCUGGGGGACAGGAGAUGCUGACACAGACGCCACAUAGCGAGUGGGCCUGUGAUGAGAGUGGGCCCGCAGAAGAGUAGACCACUGCCUCCUUCCACCCCUUCCACACACACCCCGUCUCCUCACACCACCCUCACCCCCGGUCCCGAGAAAGCAUCCAGGCCCAGGGCUUCUACAAACCAGGGGUCCCCCAAAUGACUCCAAGUCUUUUCACCCCAAAUUCUUCUCGCUCUGGUGGGUCAGGGGUCUUCCCUUUCCGUCUUGCUCCACCUUCCACUCUGUGUUAUUGCCAGUUUAUCUCAUCAUCUCCUCAGUGUGGGCUCUGAUUCAUAUUGGGCUUUACUCCUUUCGAGGUGGGGGGUUGACCAUCUUGGGGGGUGCGUGGAGCAGCUCUCUGCCCACCCCACUCCCACCCACUCUUUGCCUCUCUGGUUAGACUCUCCCUUUAUACCUAGAUCCUCGUUGUCUUAAGAGUCUUGUGAAAACUGCUUCUCCUGCAAAACAAUUAUCCUGAAUCUAGCAAUUAUGUAUCUCAGUGUUCCUUUCAUAAACUCCCAGGCAAAAAUUUAGUGUCAAACAAGGAAUUUAGGAGCAAAACAGCUGAAACUCCCUCAGAAGCUCUUCCCAACUAAGAAUGAAAGCUUUGCCAUUUCUCUGUUUUCCCUUCUUGCCUUGGCUCCCAGGAGGCUCCGCGCCCCAUGUGAUAGAAAACCACAAUGGUUUACUUUCUCCUUGCCGCGGCAGUUAGGAUGCCUCUGGUUACAAGUACUGGAAUAUCCAAGUAAAAGGCACGUGGACAAUAAAGAUGACUCACUAUCCCAUGAACAGGAAUUUGGUGAGAGCUGGAUCCAGGGUUGUUAAUUCAGCAGCUCAGUGACAGCAGGGCUCAAGAUAGCCUUCCUGUCCUUUGCCUGGCCUUCUCCUCACGGACAGAGACAACUGCCCCACACUGGGGCAUCUCAAGAUGGCCUCCAAGGAAGGAAUGGCAGGAGCGACCUUCCCUCUCCUGACUGUCUCAUCUCCUUAGGGGAACACACCCAAUGUCCAGUCCAUUUCACCUCAGGCCCCACUGACCCGAACUGGAUCACAAACCCUCCCCCUCCCAGGUAAUCACUGACAGAGUAAGCGGGGUCACCCACGUUGGUUUGCAUCAGUCUUGGUUUUCCUCCUGGGGAAACAUCACCGCCCCAGACUGAGUAAAAUCAGAGAUCUGCUAGCAAGACGCUGGUCCAGGGAGGCUGCUGGCUGGGCCUACCAUCUCCUCCCCUCCCUUUCUAUUCCAUCACCUUCAUAUAGAUUCAGACUGCAAAUGCAUAUUUAUUGAAAGGAAGAACACAAAGGAGGAGGGAGGGAAGGAAGAGUCCCCCCCCCCCCAUGCCAAGCAGACCCUCAGGAUCGCACUGCAUUUUACCCGAGCCCAGCAGACGGGCAGCGGGAUCUGCAUCUUAUUCCUGGGUGAGGACAUCAUUCCUUUGAUGCCAGGAUGAAUUUUGGCUUCGUUGCCUGAGCACUCUUUCCAAGUGAGAAUAAAUUAGGAACUUGGGCUCCGCCCCCCCCACUCUCUGCAAAUUGAGCGAGGCACAAGCUGGAGAGAAGAGCUCGAAAUCCAGUCCUUUCUAGACAACCAUUGUCUCGGGAACCCGAGUGUAUAAAGAGAUAAUGGGGAACGUGCAUCUCAGGGGCCGGGCUGGGUGCAGCAGAGGAACUGGCUGCUACAGCCGGAGGCAGCAACGUGGUCGGUCACUCCUCUGUCCCCCCGCCCCCUCCAAGCUGCCCCUCCCUGGUUGCCCCUCCCUGGUUCCUCAGGGAACCCUCCCACCCCCACCCCGUGGGCUCCUGCUCUGGCAAUUAAACACACUCAUCUUUUCCUCUCCCAGAUCCUUCUCCUCAUCUGCACGUUUCCCAGCGCCCCGCCCCCCACCCUAAACAGGCUCCCUCACCCCCCACCCCAGGCCCUGGAGAAGGUCACCUGGCUCUUCACCUAAGGGUCACUCUGCGCCUGGCUCUCCGUUGAGUCGGCACCUGCGACCGCAGCCGACGGCGGAUGGAGAACCAGCCACCUGUCUCCCUGACAUGCACCAUCCACACCUCCGCAGUCGUGCAAAUCCCCAUGCUCCUUUCUCCACCUCCCACCCUGUCCCCACCCUCACUCUCCCGAGGCCCCGCGUCUUUCUUCAUCAGGUUCUCAGGGAAAACCGUCCUCUCCCACUGCACCCGUGGGCUCUGUCUCCCAACCCUGCUGCCCGAGGGGGCCCCGCUCCUGCCAAGGAACCCACUCCCUUCCUGGGCGCCCCCCUGCGCCCGCCGCCCCCCCAGCCCCGCCAUGUGGUUCUUCAAGGGUGUCCCUGCACCAGCUGCUGAGUUCUCUCUUUGCUGCUGUGAUUCCAGCAUCUUUAAAACAGCAAUAACAACGAACUCUCCAGCUACCCUCCCAUUUUUCUUCCUCCCUUUAUAGGAAAACAAAACUCUCAAGAAGUUGUCUCCACCCAGUGUCUCAGUUUCUCUCUGGCGCUCUCAAACCCAUGCCAAUCAGAUCACCCCUCACUGCCUGAAGCCACACCCUGCUUGCUGUCACCACUGCCCCGGGUGGCUAGAGGCCAGGGGCCAGUUCUCAGCCCUGGUCCCCCGAGCCCUUCCUGCAGCAUGUGACCACUCAUCCCUGAAGCCUUUCCCACGUGGCCUCCGGGACACCCCUCCCCACCGCGCUGGUCCCCCCAGCACAGAGGCUGCUCCUCAGUCUCCACUGCUGGUUCUUAGCAUCAAGGGCCCCAAGCCCCAGUUCUGGGCUUCCUCCCUCUCCCCCGCCCACCCACCUCUACCGCCCAACCGGAGACAUCAGUCAUUUUCAUCAUUGCGGGUGCCCAUUACCAGCUGAUGGUUCCCAACCUGUGUCACCAGCUUGGACGUCACACCUGAGCUCCAGACACUGAAGACAUCUCCCCUCUGCGUCUAAGGCUCAUCACACAAACUGAGCUCCUGCUCUUCCCAGCCCCCUAACCCACCCCCAGAUUUCCUAUCAUGGUAAAGGGCAGCCCCAAAGCCUGCAGCCCCCUUGACCCCUCCCCGAGUCUAGGCUCUCAGGGAAUCUGGUCAUUUCUACCUUGGAAAUCCAUCCAGAGCCUGAGUACUUCUCACCACUCCCACUGCUACCGCCCUGGGCCAGGCCACGCUCACAUGUCCCCUGGUAUAACUCAGCAGUCUCCUAAAUGCCCUCCCUAUUCUGCCCUUGCCCCUUGAAUCAGCCCUCAACACGGGGGAUCAUGUGAAACAGAGUCACACAGGCCACUCCCCAGCUUAGAGCCCUUCCAGGCUCAAACAGAGCAAAACCAAAGUCCUUGCAGUCCCAGAGGUCCCUUACAACCCACGCCAGCCUCCACACCCACCAUGCACAGCCCGUUGGUCAGAUAUUGGAAGAGUACUGAACUGGAUGGUUUGAGCUUCCCGGAGGAAGUGACUUUUAAGCUGAGCUCAAAGAAAUAAACAGGAAAUACCUAGAUGAGCAGACAUCAGUCAGGUCUAAGUAGGAAAACAGAGACUGCACCAAGUGUUUACAGUGGAGGGAACUGGUGACAUGGAUGAUGGAAGAGCUGAGAUGGGGAAGGGAGGGGCAACCCGACAUUAACACCGACUCCCCCACCCCCCGGUAUCACCCGGCUCCAGGCAAAGCGCCUGGCAGUUGGUCAGCAUGUGCAAAGGCCCUGAGGCAGGAGGAAGGUGGUGUGGUGGGAGAGCUAGAAGAGAAACAAAGGGGCAGGGGCAUUGAUAGUGAAAGGAGGGUGGCCUGAGAAGGGACACGAGGCCAGGCUGGGGCAGCUUCACCAGCCCUGGCAAGAAUUUGGACUUAAUGCCAAGAGAAGUGGAAAGCAGAGGAGAGACGCUCCCGCUGUUGCGACCAGCCAAGCCUCAUGGCUCUCUGCAGCCCUUCCCAUCUUCAGAAGGACACACUUUGGGUCCCACACCUUUAGCUCUUUACUCAACACCCUCACUGUUCUGGUCUCUUAAAAACACCAGCCUGCUCACCUCUGCCCUGCCCAGACCCUGGCCUCAAACGUUCCCUGUGACAUCCAUGGAAGUGUUGUUCCCUCACCUGGCUCCUGCCUGGCUCCCCAUCCUUCCCCACCCCCUGGGCUCCCGUCCCAGCGGAGGCCUCACCUUGCACACACAGACUGUCAGGAUAACUUCCAACCUGGCUCUCUGCUCCAGCUCACUGCCCCUCUAACCCCACCCUCGACCUGAGGCUUGGUUCCCACGUGCUCUUGGGAGCCUACUAAUAAGACCACUGUGAAUGUCUGCAGCCAACAGGGUGGAGACCAAACUCCAUGAGGCAGAGCCCUCAUGGCCUUAGCAAGCUGGCGCUGUCUUUCUUGCUCUUCCUGCCCCAUAGUGGGCCAACCACCUUCCCAGAUGGACCAGCCCUUCAGGCCCAGGCUGCUUGGAUUUCGACACCUCCUCCCUGGGUGUGCCUUUCUCCCCUCCCCGCCCCCACAUGCAAAUUCCUCCUGCCGCAGGCUACCUCCUCUGUGAAGCCUUCCUUCACCAAAAGCACCCCUCCCCUGCCCCAGCCCUCUCCCUCUUGUCGCCAGGCAGAGCUGCUCACCUGGCUGUGCUGCCUUAUGUUCUGGUUCUGGAAUCUCUCACACCCAGCUCGGUGCCGACUGGGGGCUGAGUCUCAGAAGCUGCUUUCCAGCUCUUGGGGCUCCCUGGACCUCCCUUUCCUCCCUGGUAAGAAGAAGCCUCAGACCUGGUGCCUUUUCCCUAUACAAACAAGCUAGAACCUCCUUCUGGGGUUUCCUACAGCAGUCUCUUCCAGAACCUUGGAGGAGGAUAAGCUAGUCUGACGUGGGCAGGUAGGACUGUGAAGGGAAUCCUACAGGUUUAAAUACAAUCCAUUGGAGCCCUGGGUUUUUCCUAUAAAUAUGACUGCUGUCAUCCUAAAUGUCACACCAUCCAGGUUAUCUAGCCCUCAGUAUCAGGUGACAAUGAUUUUGCUAAAAGAAUCAAGACCAGAAGACCUGACUGUAGGUGGCCAAGAGCAGCAGCAGAUCCAGGGCCAAGGGCAGUAGAGCCGGGUCUCAUCGACGCCAAGCAGCCCUAGGACCAGGGCAGGCGUUGGGCUUGCCGAGCCGGGGCUGCAGGAGCGCAGAGGGGCUUUAUGACAAGUCGGUGUAUCACGUGAAACAAGGGGCCUAGAGACAAGAGAAGCCUGGUGACCACAGGCCCCGAGAAGCAAGACGCAAAGGCACCCACGUUCCUUUCCACAUGCUGCUUCAAUUUUCUGCUGACCUGAACAUAGCUUCCUGCAGCAUUGCCCUGGUGCGGGCCCCGGAGUCCGGUCUCAGGCAGGGCGGGGCAGCGGGCAGUGGGGUGGGCUCUGGGUAGUGGGUGGAAUCCAGCCCAGUGCUUGCUGGCUGUGUCACUUUGGACAGGUCACCUCGCCUGCUAGGCCUCAGUUUCCUCCGCCGUAGAUGAGACUUAAAACGGCCCCUCCAUGGAGAGGAGGCAAGGUCAUUCAUGCAGGGCCAGGACCUCAAGGGCAGCCAGCAGUCUGGCAGCAAAGCUCCUGAGACGUGUGUCUCUGGUUUGGCAGAUGCUGGCAGGGGUUGUGGUGACAGCAGAAGCGUGGGGUGGCAGGGCGCUGUGCCGAGUUACAUUUAGAUGUUACUAAAACCUAAAUGGUUACUGUUAUCUUGCUUGGAUCUAUGUGGUGAAUUUAGGGCUUCCAAAAAUCCACUUGAGGCUUUUUAUAUACUCACUAUUUAUAGUCUAAACUCUCCCAAAUCCCCAACCCAGCCAAAAUCAUUCCUGCUGUGUUUUCUCUCCACCCAGACGCACUAGCAGCAGGGAACACAGCAGCGUGAACUGCAGCCCCAGCAAGCCCAGCACUCUUUCUCCUCAGGGAGCGAGACCCAGGAACUCCUCUGCCCUGUGCGAGGCCACUGGCCACCAUGUCCAGUCCCACCAACAACGCCACCAAGCCUGCCGUUCCAUACGGUCAUUUCCAAAAGGUGGAAAAUUUGGUAACCAAACAAUAUUUCUGUGACCCAUACGAUUUUGCGUCUAGCUGUCUUCAUCUGGAUCAGGGCUAAUUCCCUUAUUAUUUUUCUUUCUCCUAAGCCCCUUUUACCCCAAUCCUGUAAGGUGAUCUUUCAUUACAAACCAGCAACAUGGAGCAGCGUGCUCCCCCCAAGCAUGUAGUCAUCAUGGGUCACAGGUCGUCACCCUCGUUCUCUCAGUCCCCACCCUUGGGAACCUUCUCGCUCACAGCCAAAAUGCUGCACCUCUCAGGCCAAACUUCAUGGAGGGCUUGGGGCACAAGCAGUACCACAAGACAGCACAGCAGGAAGUGAGCUCAGGUCCUGUCUCCUGGAACAGGCAGGGGAGGGUCUGGACAGAGCAGAUGCCCAGGCAGGAGAAGGAGAGGCAGUGGAGCACUGUGGUUAGAGCAGAGAUUCUUGAACUGACCAUCUAGGUUCUCAUUCCAGCUCUGCCAUUCCUAGCUGUGUGACCUCAGGCAAGUCAGUUAACCUCUCUGGGCCUAGGUUUUCCCAACUGAGGAUAAAAUGGGCACAAAAUUUGUGUUCACCUCAAAUGAGUCAAGGUAGAUAAAGUGCUCUGACUUGUGCCCUGCGCUUAGACAGCAUCACGUAAGAGGUGUGAUUAUGAGGCCAGACAUCUGACUGCUACCUGUAAACACAUGCUGCAGAAGUUUGUGUGCGGCUGUGUGAGCACAAAUGUGCUCCAGGCCGGCCAGCCCCAUGGCGCCGCUCCACGGAGACAGAUGCUCCACAUCCCAGACACAGAAGGAGCAUGCGGCGCACAGACAGCCCCAGGGCCGUCAGGAGGGAGCGAGGCAAGGAAGGAAGGAGGAAGUGGGGGCCAAGGAAGGCAGGACAAAGCGGGGGCAAGGAAGAGAAACACUCAUGUCCUACUGAGGCCUCUGCCAGGCUUUCACGUACAUCUGUGUCUCAUUUGUUUUUAAAGCUGCCCCGUACAGUGGUUAUGAUUCCUCCCAUUUUACAGAUAAAAGUGAAUGUUGUAGUCAGGGUGGAGGGGUGGUUGUGAAGGCACAAGACAAAGGUGGAGGAGGAAGCCAAGUCACGCCCAGAGGUGCCUGUCCUGUCCCGCAGACAGUGAGCGAGAUCCCUGGAUGACAGGCAAGGCCCGCGAGGCCUGGAGGGCGGGGAAGCAGAACCCUCCCCUGGUCCACCUGGGGGUCGGCAGAAACGGGCGACAGGCCUGGGGAAGUCACUGGCUGAUGGUGACCAUCUCUGCCAUCCCCACCCCAGGGCUGUGCUCCUGGGCACUCAGGGUCCCUCCAGAACUGCCCCCGGGGUCAGCAGGCUACACCGUUGCCCCUAGAGGAGAUAGAGGAGGGAGGAGCCGUAUCUGAAGCAGCCGGCCCAGGGAGGCCAGGAGGGAGGCCAGGGUUUCCAAGCUGGGGAACCCCUGGGUGGGGUGCCCACCAGCCCCGGAGCUGCCUCCACUCUCUGCCUGUGUCACCUCCCUGUCAGAGGAACUCAAGAAAGUGAGUGCCCUGGGUGGGGGCAAAACUGGUCCUUUGGGACACAAAGCCCAAGGAUGCACCCACACCCCAUGGCCUUCCUCCAGAGGCAGCAGCGUGGCCACAUCUGAGGACGGGCACCGCCCACCAGCCCAGGGUGCACAUUUUCACAGAGCAGUUGCAGGACUAGCUGGUAGGCUUGCAGAUGAAUGCUAAAUGCCCAGUUGAAUUUGAAUUUCAGAUAAACAAUGAAAAAACUUUUCAGUAUAAAUAUAUCCCACACAAUAGUUGGGAUACACUUAUACCAAUUAUUUAUCUGAAAUUCCAACUUACCUGGCUGUCCUGUAAUUUUCUUUGCUAAACCUGGAAACUUUAUAUGGGGACCAAAUGCGUCAGCUGGAACUGGGGAGGGCAGGGUAUCACUAAUACUUUACAAAUGAAGUGCCGGGUGAAGAUUUUGGUUUAAGAAUUCAGAACACCUUCUGAUGGGGCCAGGAAUCAAGGCAAUGCAAACCAUUCAAAGUGUCUUGCUUUCAUCUUUUUGAUGCCUCCCUACCGAAGGACAAGGCACUCUGUCUAUCAAGGGUCUAGAAACAUCUUUCUGCCCCCAAUGUCUGUUUAGAAGGCAACACCCUGCCAGUGGUAUUUGGAAAUUGAAUUAUACCUUUUUAAAACGAAAAGAAAAAGUCUUCUCUCCGGGGCAGCAUUCACAUGCCCAUGAGCUAGGCUAUCAAGUAUGAAUAUUCUCUUAAAAAUAAAAUUAUGGUGUACUUAAAAAGGAGCAUGUUAUGUCAGCACUGGUGAUAAGACAAUUUAUUACUGUCUACAAAAAGAAGGCUCUAAUGAUGUGGUGGAAGCUGGCUCAGUGGGCUGUAAAUUAUAAGCCAUUCUCUCGCUGGUGGAAAUAAAUCCUCCUGUCAAGUCACUGCGCUCCCCUUGUCGGCCACGGGCUGCGAAGCCGCAGUAACUACAUGCCUGUCACCUGGGGAGCAGCCCCACUCCACCCCUUGGGGGUCCCCCCACUAGUCCACACAAACCUCCCACAACCUCUAGUCACAUCUUUGGGACACAUGUCCUUUUUGACAUGAAAAAAUAACAACUGUUUAUGGUCUUCUAAUAGGCAAAACAAAAAAGAGAAAGAGAGAGGAAGGGAGGGAGGGAGGGAGGGAAGGAAGGAAGGAAGGAAGGAAGGAAGGAAGGAAGGAAGGUGAAGGGAAGGAAGGAAACAGAAUGCAGAGUUCACUGGGAGAGGAGCAGGAUUCGAGAUCAGAAGGCCUCACUGGACACCCUGCUUUGAGGGAAAUGCCCUUCCCUCCUGAGCCAGGCUUUCCCUGGCUGGAAAAUGAAGGACUUGGGCUGAAGGGGAGACCGACAGGGACUGCUGUUCCCACAGGUGCUGUGCUCCCAUGCGGUGAUGAGCCUCCUGAGCGGGAGGGGUUCAAGAAGAGCUGGGGCAGCACCUGCUGGAGAUGGUGAGGAGGGGCCUCCUUCACCCUUCAGGAAGCUGAGCUCACACUGACUCCCAGGGCCAGCUCCCCAAUUCCAGAACUCAGUGUAGAGAGCCUCAAGUCCCACCCACCCACCUCUGGCAGAGCUGGCACCCGUGAACUUUUCCGUGAACUCUGCUUUGCUGGGGCAGGCGUGGUGAGAGACACAGCACGUGGGGCAGCUCGGACACCAGGCAGGAGGCCGUGGGGACACACACCGCGCUUUGCAAGGAGGAGUCCAGGAGGAAUGUCAACAGCACUGUCUUCUAGUCCAAAAGAGGGGGCAGGGUUAAGGGUUAGCGACUGCAGUUCUACAUUAACCAGCCCUUCUGGGGAUCUAUAGAAUAAUGACAAUGUUUGGACUGUCGGUGUCAAGGCUGUAAGCAGUCCUAGGGUUGUCUGAGCCACGGGUCAAAGAGAAUCUACGAUACAGUAAUUUACUGAACUGUUCUCUAAUUACAUGAAAAUUGUCAUCCACGUCUGCCACACACGGGAACAGGGAGCCAACCAUGUUCUGACUAAUCUACGUGUUGUCAGGUUCAUGGAGAGCUGGCUGUACCUACCAUCGCUGGACCCAAAAUUCUUCCUAUUCUGUAUUAUUUUGUGCUUUUGCCCAGAGAAAAAUGAUGGAUUAAAGCAGAAAAGCAGGUACAGGCUGUCCCCACAUGAGCACGUUAAAAGGCAAAGAGAUAUCGAAAUGUCAAACUUUUGCCACCAGCCCAUCAUUUGAACGCUUUUCCAGCCGAGCGCAUCUGCAGUGACAUCGACCCCUCCCUGUGCUUCACCAGGCAAGGGGGGUGCUCCCGCUGGCCGUCACCAGGGACCUGGACCAAACCCUGAUGUGGGGUGAGCGGUCAUCCCUCGUGCUGGAGGAGCAAUCAGGAUGCACCAUGUCAGUGGGUGUCUGGGAGCCUUUCAGACCAACCAAGCGUUAAUAGCCCAUCUUGGCCCCAGAUCCUCUAACACGGCCCUGACACUGCUCUUCUCAGAGCUUCACACGAAGGUGACGCGGUUUCUCGUUUUAAGUGAGACCGACAUGCACACUACCUCCGUGCAGACAUACAUCACUCAAAGCUUUUCCCACAGAUGCCAAAAGGGUCCGACCCACAGCCCCAAAGGCAAAGAUAACCAAGUGGUCGUUAAAACUGAACAAAUGCAAUCAAGAUAAGAGUCUAAGUGCUAGUGGAAAAGACAGUGGCACUGAAAAUAGCCUGAAGGGGCUGGCAAGAUGGCCUGCAUUUUUGCCCAGGUGAGGAUUUUUUCCAUGUGAAAUAUGUAAGCGAUGUACAGAUUCCACCAACCCUGAACACCAGAUUGGAUCUAAGGGUCAGAGCAUUCACUGAUGCUGAAAUUCAGGGGUCGCCCAGGCUGUCCACGCCAUCCUUAUGCACCUCGGCUCUUGGGGUGGUAGGGGUGAACAUGAGGAGGGAGAUCCCUUGGGGCUGGGCCCACAUGCCUGCCGUUUCCGAGGCCUUCGGACACUGGGCCUGUGACCUGGGCUGUUAGACAUGGUCCACUGGAGGCUUAGCUUGGCAUGUAAGAGGUCAUGCAAUGUAGGAACUACCUCCCACAACGAGACGGGAAGGGAACUGGGAGAACAGGAGGCCGUGGGCACCUGCCAGGUGGCGGGUCAGCUGCCAGCUCACUGGGGUCUGUCUGCUGGAACCCAGAGGUGGCUGUCGGGGUGGGGAGGCGGGUAAACAGGAAGCAAAAAGGGUCUCCAAGUCUUCUGAACUAACCUGGGCUUUCUUACAUGAUUCUCUCAUAAGACCAGCAUGCAAGGGACCCUCUCCGAGCAGAGGCCACUACAGAAAUCUGUCAGAGUGGCGGCGGGUGGAGGGGCUGGGGGAGAGUUCCAGCUGGCAGUUGGCUCUAUCAGUAAAGGUCAUAAUAAUGGACUUUCUUCUAUACUUAGUCUUGUCCUGUUCUUAGGUCUUCUACAUCACAUUCUACCAAAACCACUCGGCCACUUUGAUUCAUAACUCGGACACUUUUCUUAUCAUCCACCUGGCACACGCAUGCGCACACCCAUGCGCGUGUGCACACACACAGCCAUCAAAACAACACCCUGUGUCCACAGUAAGCUUAUCCUUAAUUUUGCAGAGGUCCUAAUGAGGAAGGGACUGUCCCUCCUACUCCCAGCAAGGCCACCAUCCUGAAGCCUGAUGACAAAUGGAUGACAAAUGCUGAAGACCCUCGUGUCCUGAUGGUCUAAGACACUGCUUUUCACUAUCAACUUUUUCACAUCUAGUUCUCAGAACAAGGAUGUAUUUAUUCACAAUG
Aethalodelphis obliquidens (Pacific white-sided dolphin) is the source of this 15068-nucleotide long non-coding RNA. RefSeq lists it as uncharacterized. NCBI's taxonomy places the organism in Eukaryota, Metazoa, Chordata, Mammalia, Artiodactyla, Delphinidae. The transcript is spliced from 2 exons. The record is from RefSeq and is a predicted model, not a curated record.